AAGGUGAGUAGGCUACAGAAAAAAGCUUCUAACUUUUUAUCUAAGUGGUUAAACUCCAUUUUCUCCUUA
RNAcentral lists this transfer RNA (69 nucleotides) under Siphonosoma cumanense. Its description in RNAcentral is "tRNA-Ser". Lineage: Eukaryota; Metazoa; Annelida; Sipuncula; Golfingiida; Sipunculidae. The record is from RNAcentral.